This 605-nucleotide ribosomal RNA is filed under the name Lacticaseibacillus casei. Its description in RNAcentral is "bacterial SSU rRNA". It matches the Rfam family "Bacterial small subunit ribosomal RNA", at positions 823 to 1428 of the family's 1533-position model. The record is from RNAcentral. Lineage: Bacteria; Bacillati; Bacillota; Bacilli; Lactobacillales; Lactobacillaceae.
UUGGAGGGUUUCCGCCCUUCAGUGCCGCAGCUAACGCAUUAAGCAUUCCGCCUGGGGAGUACGACCGCAAGGUUGAAACUCAAAGGAAUUGACGGGGGCCCGCACAAGCGGUGGAGCAUGUGGUUUAAUUCGAAGCAACGCGAAGAACCUUACCAGGUCUUGACAUCUUUUGAUCACCUGAGAGAUCAGGUUUCCCCUUCGGGGGCAAAAUGACAGGUGGUGCAUGGUUGUCGUCAGCUCGUGUCGUGAGAUGUUGGGUUAAGUCCCGCAACGAGCGCAACCCUUAUGACUAGUUGCCAGCAUUUAGUUGGGCACUCUAGUAAGACUGCCGGUGACAAACCGGAGGAAGGUGGGGAUGACGUCAAAUCAUCAUGCCCCUUAUGACCUGGGCUACACACGUGCUACAAUGGAUGGUACAACGAGUUGCGAGACCGCGAGGUCAAGCUAAUCUCUUAAAGCCAUUCUCAGUUCGGACUGUAGGCUGCAACUCGCCUACACGAAGUCGGAAUCGCUAGUAAUCGCGGAUCAGCACGCCGCGGUGAAUACGUUCCCGGGCCUUGUACACACCCCCCGUCACACCAUGAGAGUUUGUAACACCCGAAGCC